UGAAGGCAGCCGCUUCACCAAUUGGGUCGCCCAGGGGCAGAGGAAGAGGGAGAGAAUUUAUGCUGACUUUGGAGUCCCACUCAGGGCUGGAUUCCAUGACACUCAGUUCAUGACCUGGGCUGAAACCAAGAGUUGAACACUGAACUGACUCAGCCACCCAGUUCCAGAAAGCUGACUCUGAUCUGGAUUACAUUCAAUACAGGCUGGAAUAUGAAAUCAAGACUGAUCAUCCUGUUACAGCAGGCAAGAUCAACCAACCAGUUUGGUCCAGUGAUAUUGCCUAAUGACUGUCCACAGGACUCAUCUGAGUCAAUAUAUUUCAGAAAAAUCCAGUUACACUCUUAAAGGAAUUGUCAGCAAUAAAGUCUCGAUAUCAAACUUUGCAUGCACGCUUUAAAUCAAUUACUACAGAGCAGAAAGAGACUAAGAACCGC
Molecule: long non-coding RNA, 434 nt
Organism: Mustela erminea (ermine)
Lineage: Eukaryota; Metazoa; Chordata; Mammalia; Carnivora; Mustelidae
Exons: 5
Source: RefSeq, a predicted model, not a curated record